UGACACAUGCAAGUCGAACGAGCGAGAGAGAGCUUGCUUUCUCAAGCGAGUGGCGAACGGGUGAGUAACGCGUGAGGAACCCGCCUCAAAGAGGGGGACAACAGUUGGAAACGACUGCUAAUACCGCAUAAGCCCACGGGUCGGCAUCGACCAGAGGGAGAAGGAGCAAUCCGCUUUGAGAUGGCCUCGCGUCCGAUUAGCUAGUUGGUGAGGUAAUGGCCCACCAAGGCAACGAUCGGUAGCCGGACUGAGAGGUUGAACGGCCACAUUGGGACUGAGACACGGCCCAGACUCCUACGGGAGGCAGCAGUGGGGAAUAUUGCACAAUGGGGGAAACCCUGAUGCAGCGACGCCGCGUGGAGGAAGAAGGUCUUCGGAUUGUAAACUCCUGUUGUUGAGGAAGAUAACGACGGUACUCAACAAGGAAGUGACGGCUAACUACGUGCCAGCAGCCGCGGUAAAACGUAGGUCACAAGCGUUGUCCGGAAUUACUGGGUGUAAAGGGAGCGCAGGCGGGAAGACAAGUUGGAAGUGAAAUCUAUGGGCUCAACCCAUAAACUGCUUUCAAAACUGUUUUUCUUGAGUAGUGCAGAGGUAGGCGGAAUUCCCGGUGUAGCGGUGGAAUGCGUAGAUAUCGGGAGGAACACCAGUGGCGAANGCGGCCUACUGGGCACCAACUGACGCUGANGCUCGAAAGUGUGGGUAGCAAACAGGAUUAGAUACCCUGGUAGUCCACACCGUAAACGAUGA
This 750-nucleotide ribosomal RNA is filed under the name uncultured bacterium. RNAcentral describes it as "bacterial SSU rRNA". It matches the Rfam family "Bacterial small subunit ribosomal RNA", at positions 49 to 812 of the family's 1533-position model. The record is from RNAcentral.